AGGGCACCACCAGGAGUGGAGCCUGCGGCUUAAUUUGACUCAACACGGGAAAACUCACCCGGCCCGGACACUGGAAGGAUUGACAGAUUGAGAGCUCUUUCUUGAUUCAGUGGGUGGUGGUGCAUGGCCGUUCUUAGUUGGUGGAGUGAUUUGUCUGGUUAAUUCCGAUAACGAACGAGACUCUAGCCUACUAAAUAGAUCGUCGGCUUACAAACGCCGGCGAGACUUCUUAGAGGGACAGGCGGUGAUUCAACCGCACGAAACAGAGCAAUAACAGGUCUGUGAUGCCCUUAGAUGUCCGGGGCCGCACGCGCGCUACACUGAAGUGAUCAGCGUGCUUUUUCAAUCUACUCUGUCAAGAGUGGGGAACCCAAUGAACCUUCUUCGUGAUUGGGAUAGGGGAUUGUAAUUAUUCUUCUUGGACGAGGAAUUCCCAGUAAAUGCGAGUCAUAAGCUCGCGUUGAUUACGUCCCUGCCCUUUGUACACACCGCCCGUCGCUACUACCGAUUGAACGAUUU
Molecule: ribosomal RNA, 519 nt
Filed under: uncultured eukaryote
Lineage: Eukaryota
Description: SSU rRNA
Rfam family: Eukaryotic small subunit ribosomal RNA
Source: RNAcentral